Molecule: ribosomal RNA, 719 nt
Filed under: uncultured organism
Description: bacterial SSU rRNA
Rfam family: Bacterial small subunit ribosomal RNA
Source: RNAcentral
GGCGUGCCUAAUACAUGCAAGUCGAGCGAUAAGGCUCCUUCCGGAGGUACGAUCAACGGGGAACGGGGUGAGUAACACGUGGGUGACAUGCCGCGAGAAGGGAUACCGGUGGAAAAGGGGGCUAUUACCCCAUGUGCUCGCCGAUUCGGUUCAUCGGAGUAAAGCUCCGGCGCUUCGGGAGAUGCCUGCGGACCAUCAGCUAGGUGGGACGGUAACGGCCUAGCACGGCAGAGACGGGUAGGGGGCGUGAGAACGCGGACCCCCACACUGGCGCUGAGAUACGGGCCAGACUCCUACGGGAGGCAGCAGUAAGGGAUAUUGCGCAGCUGGACGAGACUCAAACGCAGCGACGCCGCCUGGGCUAUGAAGGCCUUCGGGUUGUAAAGCCCUUUAAUGGGGGAAGAGAAAAAGGACGGUACCCCAGGAAUAAUUCCCGGCUGACUACGUGCCAGCAGUCGCGGUACAACGUAGGGGACAAGCGUCGUCCGGAUUCACUGGGCGUAACGAGCGUCGAGGCGGGUCCGUAAGUUGGGCCUGAAAGCUCCGGGCUUCACUCGGAGAUGUCGUUCAAUACUGCAGGGCUAGAGGACAGCAGAGGCAGGUGGAAUUCCCGGUGUAGUGGUGAAAUGCGUAGAUGUCGGGAGGAACACCCGUGGCGGAGGCGGCCUUCUGGGCUGCUCCUGACGCUGAAGGCCCAAGCUAGGGGAUCGAACGGGAUU